RNAcentral lists this ribosomal RNA (440 nucleotides) under uncultured Anaerolineae bacterium. Its description in RNAcentral is "partial 16S ribosomal RNA". It matches the Rfam family "Bacterial small subunit ribosomal RNA", at positions 338 to 794 of the family's 1533-position model. Lineage: Bacteria; Bacillati; Chloroflexota; Anaerolineae. The record is from RNAcentral.
CCUACGGGAGGCAGCAGUGAGGAAUAUUGCACAAUGGGCGCAAGCCUGAUGCAGCAACGCCGCGUGGAGGAUGAAGGCCUUCGGGUUGUAAACUCCUUUUCUGGGGGACGAGGAAGGACGGUACCCCAGGAAGAAGUCUCGGCUAACUACGUGCCAGCAGCCGCGGUAAAACGUAGGAGGCGAACGUUAUCCGGAAUUACUGGGCGUAAAGCGCACGCAGGCGGCUUCGUAAGUCCAACGUGAAAGCUCCCGGCUUAACCGGGAGAGGUCGUUGGAUACUGCGAGGCUCGAGGUUAGGAGAGGGAAGUGAAAUUCCCGGUGUAGUGGUGGAAUACGUAGAUAUCGGGAGGAACUCCAGUGGCGAAGGCGACUCCCUGGCCUACACCUGACGCUGAGGUGCGAAAGCGUGGGGAGCAAACAGGAUUAGAUACCCCGGUAGU